UACGUAGGCAGCGAGCGUUGUUCGGAGUUACUGGGCGUAAAGAGUGCGUAGGCGGUUUUCUAAGUUUGGUGUGAAAUCUCCCGGCUCAACUGGGAGGGUGCGCCGAAGACUGGAAGGCUUGAGUAUGGGAGAGGUAAGCGGAAUUCCUGGUGUAGCGGUGAAAUGCGUAGAUAUCAGGAGGAACACCUGCGGUGUAGACGGCUUACUGGACCAUAACUGACGCUGAGGCACGAAAGCCAGGGUAGCAAACGGG
RNAcentral lists this ribosomal RNA (253 nucleotides) under uncultured bacterium. RNAcentral describes it as "partial 16S ribosomal RNA". It matches the Rfam family "Bacterial small subunit ribosomal RNA", at positions 524 to 776 of the family's 1533-position model. The record is from RNAcentral.